AGGUGUGGAUGUGAGCGUCCUAACCAGUGAGGAAAAUGGCGAAAGUCUGUCACAAAGUAACCUGUGUCACCUUGUCCCGCGAGCCCAAAAGUGUAAAAUAACAUUUCUUUCCUCCUUUACUUGAGUCCCGGAUGACAAUUUGGAUAUAUUUAGGGAAAAGCGACACAAAUGUUUGUCCAAGUCCUCGAUGACAAGUCUAGGUUGGUGGUCUUAAAGUGCCAGCAAACAAGUUUGUCCUGGUGCUGGAAGCAGUCAGCUGUUUCCACCUGCAGCCUCCAAGCACACAACACAAGCUUUUCUGCACAAGGUUGCUGACCAUCUUGUUUUUCCAGCCUUCUUUGAGGGAGGAAAAGACUCAACUUCAAGGACUUGGAUUGCACACAACUUGGACGCAAGGCCACAGGAGCUGUCCCAAAACAUUGAGGACGACAACAAGGAAAGAAAGAAAAAAAAGAACCUCCUCCAACAACUCCACACAUGGGGAUUGUUACACGGCUUUUGAGAGACAGCUGCCUUAUGGACUGUGCCACAGCGGUCCCACACCACAAAGCACAGCCAUCUGGUAAGUGAGCCAAGCAAAUGGGCAAACUUUACCCGUGAACUGGUUUGCUACAGUAGUUCUGAUCGUCUUUUUUUUUUUACACUAAAUCGAGACGAGGCAGCAUUGUUGUUUUUUUUUAAUUCCGCAUGCCCAACGUUGCGCGUAGUCCAUUGAAACCAAAAAAAAAACAUAUUUGCAAUGUACUUUUUGUCCAACACGGCAGGCUUGAAAAAUGCAUUUCUUCGUCGUCUUUUUCUACUUUUUAUUUGCUUCUCUGCAGUCUCGCAAUAUUUUUAUGUUGUCCAAGUCCUAGCCUUGAUGCUAAAAAACCAGACCAUUUUAAAGUGUUUUAUUUACCUGAAAUACAGUCUAUUUUGUGUCUGUAGCUUUAAUCCUAAUGAGCUGUGAUUGUUGCUGACAGUUUUUCGUUUUUUGUGAACUUUAUAUACUUUUUACAGCUACACUUUUGCAAGAGAUAGGUGAUGCACAAUAUAGAUUAAAUAAAUAUGGCUGACAAGA
Molecule: long non-coding RNA, 1060 nt
Organism: Nerophis ophidion (straightnose pipefish)
Lineage: Eukaryota; Metazoa; Chordata; Actinopteri; Syngnathiformes; Syngnathidae
Exons: 3
Source: RefSeq, a predicted model, not a curated record